CUAUGAUGAUACCCAUGAGCUGGCACCAGUCCUAGAAAGAUUUGUACUCUGUUUUCUGCGGAAUGCUUAACCGGGCUAGAAAAAAAGCCCAUCUGAA
This is a non-coding RNA of Trichophyton equinum CBS 127.97, 97 nucleotides long. NCBI's taxonomy places the organism in Eukaryota, Fungi, Ascomycota, Eurotiomycetes, Onygenales, Arthrodermataceae. The record is from Rfam.